GGCUGGUCUGAGGGCCAUGGUGUUAACAACUAAUUGAUCACAACAAGUUACAGAUUUUAUUGUUCCUUCACUCCUACUGCUUCACUUGACUAGCCUUAA
RNAcentral lists this Y RNA (99 nucleotides) under Prolemur simus (greater bamboo lemur). Its description in RNAcentral is "Y RNA (ENSPSMG00000022244.1)". It matches the Rfam family "Y RNA". From Rfam's summary of the family: Y RNAs are components of the Ro ribonucleoprotein particle (Ro RNP), in association with Ro60 and La proteins. The Y RNAs and Ro60 and La proteins are well conserved, but the function of the Ro RNP is not known. The record is from Rfam by way of RNAcentral. Lineage: Eukaryota; Metazoa; Chordata; Mammalia; Primates; Lemuridae.